UGCAGUGAUGAAAACCUUGAAUAGGAAGUGCCGUCAGAUGCGACAACUGAAGACGUCUCAUCCACUUUUCUGAUU
RNAcentral lists this small nucleolar RNA (75 nucleotides) under Lates calcarifer (barramundi perch). Its description in RNAcentral is "Small nucleolar RNA SNORD49 (ENSLCAG00010024271.1)". It matches the Rfam family "Small nucleolar RNA SNORD49". Rfam says of the family: U49 belongs to the C/D class of snoRNA which contain the C (UGAUGA) and D (CUGA) box motifs. The record is from Rfam by way of RNAcentral. Lineage: Eukaryota; Metazoa; Chordata; Actinopteri; Centropomidae.